AAUGGACGAAAGUCUGAACCAGCCAUGCCGCGUGAAGGAUGACGGCCUACGGGUUGUAAACUUCUUUUGUAUAGGAAGAACCCGCCUACGUGUAGGGGGCUGACGGUACUAUACGAAUAAGCACCGGCUAACUCCGUGCCAGCAGCCGCGGUAAUACGGAGGGUGCAAGCGUUAUCCGGAAUUAUUGGGUUUAAAGGGUGCGUAGGCGGAAAUUUAAGUCAGUGGUGAAAGCCUGCAGCUCAACUGUAGAAUUGCCAUUGAUACUGAAUUUCUUGAAUCUAAUUGAAGUGGGCGGAAUAUGACAUGUAGCGGUGAAAUGCUUAGAUAUGUCAUAGAACACCGAUAGCGAAGGCAGCUCACUAAGUUAGUAUUGACGCUCAUGCACGAAAGCGUGGGGAGCGAACAGGAUU
Molecule: ribosomal RNA, 410 nt
Filed under: uncultured Flavobacteriia bacterium
Lineage: Bacteria; Pseudomonadati; Bacteroidota; Flavobacteriia
Description: bacterial SSU rRNA
Rfam family: Bacterial small subunit ribosomal RNA
Source: RNAcentral